Molecule: long non-coding RNA, 342 nt
Organism: Marmota monax (woodchuck)
Lineage: Eukaryota; Metazoa; Chordata; Mammalia; Rodentia; Sciuridae
Exons: 2
Source: RefSeq, a predicted model, not a curated record
UAACCUGGAACCACCCAGAAACUUUCAGUAGCCAAGAGACAUGGCUGAUUCUUACCUGAGAGUCACACCCGCAGGAGGACAGCAGAAGGCAGCAGCAGCCGUGGAACUAUGGACCUGUGACAGUGCACACACAGAGGAGCUUAGAAAUUAUAUCAACUCAGUGGAGAAACUUGCUAUCUUGGGCUGAAGAGAAGUUCUGACAAGGAGUGACAGACAGGAUUGAUUAAAAUUUUUAAAUGGAGUGAUAAAGUACUGAUCAGAAAAUGGAUUUUGUUUACUUGAAAGACUCUCCAAAUUGUUUUGUGGAACAGAAAUUGAUUAAAGAGCUUCCUGAUUGAGAAA